RNAcentral lists this ribosomal RNA (253 nucleotides) under uncultured bacterium. RNAcentral's name for it is "partial 16S ribosomal RNA". It matches the Rfam family "Bacterial small subunit ribosomal RNA", at positions 524 to 776 of the family's 1533-position model. The record is from RNAcentral.
UACGUAGGCAGCGAGCGUUGUUCGGAGUUACUGGGCGUAAAGGGUGUGUAGGCGGUUGUUUAAGUUUGGUGUGAAAUCCCCCGGCUUAACCGGGAGGGUGCGCCGAAUACUGAAUGACUAGAGUGCGGGAGAGGUGAGUGGAAUUCCUGGUGUAGCGGUGAAAUGCGUAGAUAUCAGGAGGAACACCGGUGGUGUAGACGGCUCACUGGACCGUAACUGACGCUGAGACACGAAAGCGUGGGUAGCAAACAGG